This 253-nucleotide ribosomal RNA is filed under the name uncultured bacterium. Its description in RNAcentral is "partial 16S ribosomal RNA". It matches the Rfam family "Bacterial small subunit ribosomal RNA", at positions 524 to 776 of the family's 1533-position model. The record is from RNAcentral.
UACAGAGGGUGCGAGCGUUAAUCGGAAUUACUGGGCGUAAAGCGCUCGUAGUCGGCUUUGCAAGUCGGGUGUGAAAUCCCCGGGCUCAACCUGGGAAUUGCGAUGGAGACUGCAAGGCUAGAAUCUGGCAGAGGGGGGUAGAAUUCCACGUGUAGCAGUGAAAUGCGUAGAGAUGUGGAGGAACACCGAUGGCGAAGGCAGCCCCCUGGGCUAACACUGACGCUCAUGCACGAAAGCGUGGGGAGCAAACAGG